This 465-nucleotide ribosomal RNA is filed under the name uncultured bacterium. RNAcentral describes it as "partial 16S ribosomal RNA". It matches the Rfam family "Bacterial small subunit ribosomal RNA", at positions 339 to 795 of the family's 1533-position model. The record is from RNAcentral.
CUACGGGGUGCUGCAGUGGGGAAUAUUGGACAAUGGGGGCAACCCUGAUCCAGCAAUACCGCGUGUGUGAAGAAGGCCCGAGGGUUGUAAAGCACUUUCGGUUGGGAGGACUGCUUCUAGCACUAAUAUUGUUGGAAGUUGACGUUACCUUCAGAAGAAGCACCGGCUAACUCCGUGCCAGCAGCCGCGGUAAUACGGAGGGUGCAAGCGUUAAUCGGAAUUACUGGGCGUAAAGCGCGCGUAGGCGGCUAGAUCAGUCGGGUGUGAAAGCCCCGGGCUUAACCUGGGAACUGCAUCCGAUACUGUCUAGCUUGAGUACAGGAGAGGAGAGUGGAAUUCCACAUGUAGCGGUGAAAUGCGUAGAUAUGUGGAGGAACACCAAUGGCGAAGGCAGCUCUCUGGCCUGAUACUGACGCUGAGGUGCGACAGCGUGGGGAGCAAACAGGAUUAGAUACCCCCGUAGUC